AUUUCUUUUGUCAAACUGGAUCGUCUGCUUCCUCUGCCAACUGAAAUCCAACACAUUCGGUCAUAGCACCAUCAGGGGAGAGUUUCCACACUUCAUCUUCCCCCUUUCUUCCCUUCUGCGUGUUCCACGCACCAAACUUCCCUGCUGACAGCCCAAAGGUAUUAGUCAUGUGACUGUUUGGACCGCGCAAUCGUCGGAGACUAAAUGACCUCACCAGGGGUUUCAUGAUACACAGAUCAUGCUAGUCUAUAAUCUACAGUUGUCUUGCCACAGGCUACAGAGUGCUGGGACCACAGGGCUGUUCCAGCUGGCAUCUUGAGAACGGGGCAACUGAGGCUGAGAUUUGGGUGUGAGACACGGUGUUUCUCAGGCGACCGAGCGAUGGUGUAGUUCCCCCUCCAGAUCAUUGUGUGUUUGGCAGCGAGCGGAUCGAUCUCCUCGCCACAUUCUCUUGUGGAUUAGGUAACUGUGGGGAAAAGACGUAGGAAAUGAAAAGCGUGGCUAAGGGCCAGCGCCAUGGCUCAGCCGGCAAAAGCGCUUGUGGCACAAACCUGGCAACCUGAGUUUGAUCUCUGGAACCACAGUGGACAGAGAGAACCAACUCUACACAGUUAUCCCCUGACUUCCACAUGACUCAUGUGUGGGCUGUGGCACAUGGACACCCAUAUUUACACACACACACACACACACACACACACACACACACGCACUAAAUUUUUAUAAACUGAAACGAUAGUUUUUCUCAAAAAUGUUUAUUAAGUUUAUUUUUUUAGUGUGGUGUGUGUGUGUACACACACACACACGUACGUACACACCAUGGCAUUCAUGUGGACAGCACGUGGGCCCGGUGACUAAACGCAGGGCAUCAGGAUUGGUAGUAAGUACCUUUGCCUGCCGAGCCAUCUCACCAAUCUGUUCUCAUUUUAAAGCACCCUCAUGGGAUCUGAGGUACCAGAGAAAUUACCUGCAGAUGGGAGAAAUUGAAACCCAGAGAAGAUAAGCACCUGCUUCGGCAUCACACAGCAAAUGUGUAUCUGGGCUGGGACUAGAGUCCAGAGUCCUCGGGUCCUGGUUGCACCCUUCCAUUAUUAUUGGUCUGUCUGUCGACUGUCAUGGAGAAUUCUUUUUUCUUUUUCAUUGAUUCUUCUUUUCAGAGUCUAAAAAGAGCCAAGAUGAGCCAGGAAACUCUGGGAGCCCUGAUUCACUUCCAAAGGCAAUGCGUUUUCUGUGGCCCGCUGCAUGGAUUGCUGUUCCUAUUAAGGUUUUCCACGUUUCGCAUAAAAGCAUGCAAAUUGCCGCAGCAACUAAAUGAAAUCAGUUUCAGUAUCCAGGGUUUAUACACACAGAGACUCUUGCUUUCCCUUGCUCUCUUUCUCUCUCUCUUCCUGGCUCAACUCUACCCCCCUCCCCAAUUCCAUUAACAUGCAAUUUUUAAAUAAAACACUUAGAUGUGUAUGUUGGUGAAAUCUUUUAACAUUUUUCUUUCUCUCAGUUUUAUAUUAUGAUCACCCGUGAUGUUCUGUGAUCAUAAACAUUUGGCAAGUUUCACAGUAUAUUAAUAUGGUAGAGUAACGGUCUCAGUGUUUCUAAUGAGUCAGGGAAGGAGUGGGGAGCAGCUCGGAUGAGGCAAA
Peromyscus maniculatus bairdii (prairie deer mouse) is the source of this 1631-nucleotide non-coding RNA. The record is from RefSeq and is a predicted model, not a curated record. Lineage: Eukaryota; Metazoa; Chordata; Mammalia; Rodentia; Cricetidae.